Molecule: ribosomal RNA, 393 nt
Filed under: uncultured archaeon
Lineage: Archaea
Description: bacterial SSU rRNA
Rfam family: Archaeal small subunit ribosomal RNA
Source: RNAcentral
CGGGGUGCAGCAGGCGCGAAAACUUUUCAAUGCGCGAAAGCGUGAGAAGGGAAUUCCGAGUGCUCAAGCAUUGCUUGGGCUUUUGUCAAGUGUAAAUAGCUUGGCGAAUAAGGGGUGGGUAAGACUGGUGCCAGCCGCCGCGGUAACCCCAGCGCCCCGAGUGGGAAUCACGAUUAUUGGGUCUAAAGCGUUCGUAGCAGGCUAUGUAAAUCCCUUGUGAAAUUGUCCGGCUUAACUGGACAGCGUGCAGGGGACACUGCAAAGCUCGAGACCGGGAGAGGUUAGAAGUAUUCCUUGGGUACCGGUAAAAUGGGUUAAUCCAAGGAGGACUACCAAUGGCGAAGGCAUCUGACCAGAACGGUUCUGACUGUGAGGAACGAAAGCUAGGGGAGC